This is a long non-coding RNA of Oenanthe melanoleuca, 1124 nucleotides long. RefSeq lists it as uncharacterized. NCBI's taxonomy places the organism in Eukaryota, Metazoa, Chordata, Aves, Passeriformes, Muscicapidae. The transcript has 2 exons. The record is from RefSeq and is a predicted model, not a curated record.
AGGAGAAAAUAAUCCCAGGUGAAAAGCUGGAGGGAAAGGGGGUGGUGGGGAGGUGUUUGCAAAUUGCUUAUUUAUUGUAAAGUUUCCAUAAAAAUGCCUUUGCUUCAGCCAAGGGACCUCCCUGGGGCCAAAGAUGGACCAUGAAGAUGUCUGUACCAGCAGUGGGUGUGAGUGCUGAUUCUUUUGGGCUGUGUGGUGCCUCUGGCCCCUCAGAAGUCAGGCAAGGCUGAAGGGAGGAGGGAAGCUGCCACAGCUGCAGGUGAGGGCAAUAUUGGCUGUUUCUGCCUGGAGCAGAACUGGAAGAGCAGCUUUCCUCCUGUCUCUCCAUCACUGGGCAGGGUAUUAAAUGAAGCUGCACUAAGCUCUGUCCUCUGUGGGUUGCUGUGUGGUUGUUGUUUUUUCUGGCUUUUUAAUGUAUUUCCAAGUGGUGCAGGGAGGAGCAAGCUGCUGGGUUACAUGAUUUCUGACUGAGCUAUCACAGAAAAGAGCACCUGUGUGUGCACCUGCUUCCUGGCAAAUCCAGAUGUGACAUGGAAAUCCUAAGUGAGGAUUUCCAGCCUUGACUACAGGUGCCACAGGCUUCUGAAAAUGGAACUGACCUUGGCAGAAUAGCAGCUGUGAAGGGAAGCAGAACUGAAAUAGAGCACAGGAAAAAUCCUUACACUCCUCCCAGCUCUGCCAACAGCUGUGGUGUUUGAGCAGCCCAAGCCAAGAGGCUCCAGCACCAGGGUCUGUGCUGAGAGCUCCUGGUCCUGCCCUGCUGUGGGGAAGUCAGAGGGAUGCAGGGCUCCUCUCUUCCUCCCUGCUGGGAGGAGCUGCCCAGGGAAUCUGGGUGAAACUCCAGCUCUCCUGGUGUUCAGGGGUGCAAGGUGUGAGGGACUGUGUUUGCCUGUGGCUUGGCAGGUCAGCAGGAGCAAGAGGAAAUGGGUGCCAGAGCCAUGUCCCACCAGGCUGCAUUUCCCUCUGAGGACAGGGAGGCUGGGCUGAGGUGAGAUUGCCACCAGUGCUGGAUGAGCAAUCCAGGGAACAGGGAAUUGCAGCUGCUGCCAGAACCAUGGCCUUAGGUCUGCUCUGUCUGUGUCUGUGACCAGUGGGAUUUGUGCUGGAGAGAGUGGGGCUGUCAG